Molecule: ribosomal RNA, 493 nt
Filed under: uncultured Bacillota bacterium
Lineage: Bacteria; Bacillati; Bacillota
Description: bacterial SSU rRNA
Rfam family: Bacterial small subunit ribosomal RNA
Source: RNAcentral
GACGAACGCUGGCGGCGUGCCUAAUACAUGCAAGUCGAGCGGACGGAUGGGAGCUUGCUCCCUGAAGUUAGCGGCGGACGGGUGAGUAACACGUGGGCAACCUGCCCUAUAGUUUGGGAUAACUCCGGGAAACCGGGGCUAAUACCGAAUGAUACAUUUCAUCUCCUGUUGGAAUGUUGAAAGAUGGUUUCGGCUAUCGCUAUAGGAUGGGCCCGCGGCGCAUUAGCUAGUAGGUGAGGUGACGGCUCACCUAGGCGACGAUGCGUAGCCGACCUGAGAGGGUGAUCGGCCACACUGGGACUGAGACACGGCCCAGACUCCUACGGGAGGCAGCAGUAGGGAAUCUUCCACAAUGGACGAAAGUCUGAUGGAGCAACGCCGCGUGAGUGAAGAAGGUUUUCGGAUCGUAAAACUCUGUUGUAAGGGAAGAAUAAGUGCAGUAGUAACUGGCUGCACCUUGACGGUACCUUAUUAGAAAGCCACGGCUAACUAC